This 374-nucleotide ribosomal RNA is filed under the name uncultured bacterium. RNAcentral's name for it is "bacterial SSU rRNA". It matches the Rfam family "Bacterial small subunit ribosomal RNA", at positions 523 to 898 of the family's 1533-position model. The record is from RNAcentral.
AUACGUAGGGGGCAAGCGUUGUCCGGAAUUAUUGGGCGUAAAGCGCGCGCAGGCGGUCAAUUAAGUUGGGUGUUUAAGCCCGGGGCUCAACCCCGGUUCGCAUCCAAAACUGGUUGACUUGAGUGUAGGAGAGGAAAGUGGAAUUCCACGUGUAGCGGUGAAAUGCGUAGAGAUGUGGAGGAACACCAGUGGCGAAGGCGACUUUCUGGCCUAUAACUGACGCUGAGGCGCGAAAGCGUGGGGAGCAAACAGGAUUAGAUACCCUGGUAGUCCACGCCGUAAACGAUGCAUACUAGGUGUCGGGGAUUCGAUUCCUCGGUGCCGAAGUUAACACAGUAAGUAUGCCGCCUGGGGAGUACGCUCGCAAGAGUGAA